RNAcentral lists this transfer RNA (45 nucleotides) under Drosophila mercatorum. RNAcentral's name for it is "partial tRNA-Tyr". The record is from RNAcentral. Lineage: Eukaryota; Metazoa; Arthropoda; Insecta; Diptera; Drosophilidae.
UAUGAUUAAGAAGAAAUAACUCUUAUAUAUAGAUUUACAAUCUAU